RNAcentral lists this unclassified non-coding RNA (592 nucleotides) under Hevea brasiliensis (rubber tree). The record is from RNAcentral. Lineage: Eukaryota; Viridiplantae; Streptophyta; Magnoliopsida; Malpighiales; Euphorbiaceae.
GAAAUAGCAAACAUAUAAUCAAAGAUUUACAAACUGUGCCUGCACCAGCUAAAAUAUGUCAAGUGAGGUGAACUUAAGAUUCAAGGACAAAAAAUCUAUUCAUUUCCAUCAGAAACCUCAUCAAACAAGUACAAAUAGGGAACCAAAGGGGCAUGUUCAACUGGUUCUCCUACCUCACUCUCCCCCAUCAUUUCAGGAAUUUUCCAACCCAAAUGCUGGAUAUAAACUCUAUCAAAAGCAUCAACAGUCAAAGAAGAAGCCAGAAAUAGUUCUAACUCGUUCACAAAUCGAUCAGUUCGGCCUGUUAGGAAAGGUCUUGUUGCUUCAGAUACCAUGAUCUUGAACUCUUCUUGCUUUGCUUGAGGAGCAACUUUUAUAUGCUUUUGCUCAUUUCUUCUAAAUGAAUCAACUACACCAAGUAUAUGAUGUACAAUAAUAUCUACAUCUUCUUCCUGAGUCAAAGACUGGAUUUCUCUUCUCAACCAACUUAUAAGCCAAGGAUUGGGCUGAAGGUACUUCUGCAACUUCCAAUAACGUAGCACAUUGAAUUUGUCGAAUAAGCCCCCUUCAUCGGUAUAGUAGCACUGCAAUC